CCUACGGGGGGCAGCAGUGGGGGAUAUUGCACAAUGGGGGGAACCCUGAUGCAGCGACGCCGCGUGGGUGAAGGAGUGCUUCGGCAUGUAAAGCCCUAUCGGCAGGGAAGAAGCAAGACGGUACCUGACUAAGAAGCCCCGGCUUACAACGUGCCAGCAGCCGCGGUAAUACGUAGGGGGCGAGCGUUAUCCGGAUUCACUGGGUGUAAAGGGAGCGUAGACGGGCAUGAAAGCCAGGGGGUAAAGCCCGGGGCCCAACCCCGUGACUGCCGUUGAAACUGCAUGGCUGGAGUGCGGGAGGGGCAGGCGGAAUGCGUGGUGUAGCGGUGAAAUGCGUAGAUAUCAGGAAGAACACCGACGGCGAAGGCAGCCUGCUGGACCGCGACUGACGUUGAGGCUCGAAAGCGUGGGGAGCGAACAGGAUUAGAUACCCGGGUAGUC
Molecule: ribosomal RNA, 441 nt
Filed under: uncultured bacterium
Lineage: Bacteria
Description: partial 16S ribosomal RNA
Rfam family: Bacterial small subunit ribosomal RNA
Source: RNAcentral